AGGGGAGUAGUAUAGCGGUAGUACAUCGGUCUCCAAAACCGCGUGUGUGGGUUCAACUCCUUCCUCCCCUGCCA
This 74-nucleotide transfer RNA is filed under the name Erysipelotrichaceae bacterium. Its description in RNAcentral is "tRNA-Trp". It matches the Rfam family "tRNA". Rfam says of the family: Transfer RNA (tRNA) molecules are approximately 80 nucleotides in length. Their secondary structure includes four short double-helical elements and three loops (D, anti-codon, and T loops). The record is from RNAcentral. Lineage: Bacteria; Bacillati; Bacillota; Erysipelotrichia; Erysipelotrichales; Erysipelotrichaceae.